This 456-nucleotide ribosomal RNA is filed under the name uncultured bacterium. RNAcentral describes it as "bacterial SSU rRNA". It matches the Rfam family "Bacterial small subunit ribosomal RNA", at positions 340 to 786 of the family's 1533-position model. The record is from RNAcentral.
UACGGGAGGCAGCAGUGGGGAAUAUUGCACAAUGGGCGCAAGCCUGAUGCAGCCAUGCCGCGUGUAUGAAGAAGGCCUUCGGGUUGUAAAGUACUUUCAGCGGGGAGGAAGGCGGUGAAGUUAAUAGCUUCACCGAUUGACGUUACCCGCAGAAGAAGCACCGGCUAACUCCGUGCCAGCAGCCGCGGUAAUACGGAGGGUGCAAGCGUUAAUCGGAAUUACUGGGCGUAAAGCGCACGCAGGCGGUCUGUCAAGUCGGAUGUGAAAUCCCCCGGGCUUAACCUGGGAACUGCAUUCGAAACUGGCAGGCUAGAGUCUUGUAGAGGGGGUGAAAUUCCAGGUGUAGCGGUGAAAUGCGUAGAGAUCUGGAGGAAUACCGGUGGCGAAGGCGGCCCCUGGGACAAAGACUGACGCUCAGGUGCGAAAGCGUGGGGAGCGAAACAGGAUUAGGAUACC